This 473-nucleotide ribosomal RNA is filed under the name uncultured organism. RNAcentral's name for it is "partial 16S ribosomal RNA". It matches the Rfam family "Bacterial small subunit ribosomal RNA", at positions 334 to 799 of the family's 1533-position model. The record is from RNAcentral.
CACUCUACGGGAGGCAGCAGUGGGGAAUUUUGGACAAUGGGCGAAAGCCUGAUCCAGCAAUGCCGCGUGUGUGAAGAAGGCCUUCGGGUUGUAAAGCACUUUUGUCCGGAAAGAAAUCCUUGGCUCUAAUACAGUCGGGGGAUGACGGUACCGGAAGAAUAAGCACCGGCUAACUACGUGCCAGCAGCCGCGGUAAUACGUAGGGUGCGAGCGUUAAUCGGAAUUACUGGGCGUAAAGCGUGCGCAGGCGGUUUGCUAAGACCGAUGUGAAAUCCCCGGGCUCAACCUGGGAACUGCAUUGGUGACUGGCAGGCUAGAGUAUGGCAGAGGGGGGUAGAAUUCCACGUGUAGCAGUGAAAUGCGUAGAGAUGUGGAGGAAUACCGAUGGCGAAGGCAGCCCCCUGGGCCAAUACUGACGCUCAUGCACGAAAGCGUGGGGAGCAAACAGGAUUAGAUACCCGAGUAGUCCCAUG